This is a non-coding RNA of Drosophila suzukii, 521 nucleotides long. NCBI's taxonomy places the organism in Eukaryota, Metazoa, Arthropoda, Insecta, Diptera, Drosophilidae. The record is from RefSeq and is a predicted model, not a curated record.
CACACACGUCCAGUCGCAUGAAGUCAACAACAGACGCCCACUCGACUUGGUCCGUGUGGACUCGGUUUAUCGGUCUCGGUUUCUGGCUUUGCGACUGGGGAAUUGGCAUCCGUGUCCGAAGUACCCACAUGUACAUUGUAUCCUCUCUGUGUGGGGAACCAGUAUGACGGUGUUUGCGAAUGGGGAGCAAUGCUCGGCUUCUCGGUGCUGCCUCGAGUCCCAGGUGUUCGAACUUUUGCGAUUCAAUUUUUAUGUUAAUAUUAAGAUGUCGUCCUGAAUGACGAAGUUGGCAGACAAAAAGAAAGCAACUUUAUGAGAGGCCUAUCCUUAAAGAAGAUUCUCAUUUUGUUCACCUUCCAUUCUAUAUUUUAAUGUUUCCUUUCCCUGAAUUUAGUUUUCAAAUCUGUUAAUUAAAAUAAAUAAAUAUAAAUAUCGUAAGUAUCCAGUUUUUUCAUUACCUAUAACCUCAACUUUACACAGAGAAAGGCUUAUUUUGUGGUAUCCCUACUCAAAUAUUUUUA